CGUCAACCCCAUAACUUUCAGUCGACGUAAGAAAUUUUUUAUGGCCGAGAAAUUCGCAAAUCCUCGAAUUUGAGGCCGUUUUAGGGGUCCUUUGAGGUCGCACGAGUGAGGAUUUAAAUUCCAUGACCUCGGGGUCAGGGUGAAUGAGGUUUUGAAAUGAGUGGUACAGUCUGUCAACAAUCCACAGAACCUCUCUCUAGGCAGCUCAGUGGGAGAUUAAACUGGUAACAGGAAGUCUGGAUUUGCCUGUAUUGAUAUGUUUUCCCGGAAGUAUGGAGUUCGUUGAUGUCAGUUGACUGAGGCAAGAAGGUAGCGCCCCAUUACUUGAAAUUAUAAAGAAAAUAUUAUUUAUGAAUAUUAUAUACACCUAGAAGAUAGUGAUAUUAUACUUCACUGUUAACAAAUGCUGUUGAAUACUUACUUUUAAGCAGUUUUGUAGGUGGGAAACGUCCUAUUUAACACUUGUUCGUCACAUACAAGCGCCAUCUGACGUUCCUUUAUGUCAUGUACGCAGCGAAAACUGUCAAACCUUUCGUUUGGUGGUGCGAUUCCAUUUGCUUUGUCAAAGUAGAUGCUGUCUUGACAAGGAAAACUGGUAUCUUUAGCGCCCUCAUUUGUAAGGGAUUCAGAACUAGACUGUUGGAAGCUGUUAUAUCGAUUAAUAUAGCUCUAUCCUAAGUUAUUAUUAUUAUAAUUAUAUAUAUUGUUGUUGUUAUUAUUAUUAUUAUUAUUAUUAUUAUUAUUAUUAUUAUUAUUAUUAUUAUUAUUACUGUAAAGUAUUUACUAAGGCUACCAGGCAAUAUUUCUGCAAAGUUAACUUUUCUUGAAUAGUGGAAAAAAAGAGAUAAUUGAAAAAUGAGUAACAAUGGCUAUGAAUAGUAAAUAUAUACAGUAUGAAUAUAUCGCUAAAUAAUACAUGAUAAGAAAUCUAAAGCAGUAACCUUAAAAACUAUUCAUUGAUUCAGGGUUUAUCAGUGCAAGGAACAAAAAUUCAGGACUGAGUAGUGCGAGAACGUGGUACUGCAUCAAUUGAUGAUGGAUGAUGCUGUGUAGAUCAAGUAACAAACACUAGUUGUGGGGACGCACUGAAAUCGAUAACGAGGCCUCAAGAUCGAGGGACAGAUGGCCAAGAUGAGCUCGGAACUUUCCGUAGAGUAUCCCAUGAAGUGUGAGAUGGAAGAGCCGUUAGCCCUCCCUCCUUCGGUCAAUCGUGAAAACAGGGAUAUGGUUGGCUGUAGUGCAGCUGCUAAAGAUAGCUCGGCGUCCUCGGAAUCGUUCGUGGACGUCAAGCCGGAGCCGGAGGAAUUCUACGAGUCGGACGAAGACUACGCAAAAUAUUCGAACAAGCGGAGCUCGCCGGAGGACAGCGAGGAAGAGAGGGAGCGCCAGUCUAAAGAGCGACCGUUUAAAUGCACCGAGUGCGGGAAGGUCUUCUCCCAGGAAGUUUAUCUGGAGUAUCACACGAGGACCCACACUGGAGAAAAGCCCUUCAAGUGUGGGAAGUGCGAGGUCGCUUUCUCCCAGAAAAUCCAUCUUCGAUACCACAUGAAGACUCACUUCGACGAAAAGCCGUUCAAGUGUGUGAAGUGUGGGAAAGCUUUAUCCCACAAAAUUCACCUCAAAUAUCACAUGAAAACUCACGCCAGAGAGAAACCGUACGUUUGUGAGGAAUGCGGAAAAGCUUUCAACCAGGCGUAUUUCCUGAAAAAUCAUAAGAAAGUCCACGCUGGCGAGAAGCAAUUCACGUGCGACCAGUGUGGGAAAGCCUUUAAUGAAGAAAGUGUUCUGAAAAACCAUAUGAAGGUUCACUCUGAUAAGACUAGUCAGAAGUGAUGAACCUACAAAGGUAUAUUUAGUAAAUAUCAACUUACACGGCAUGGGGAUACUGUAGUCAACUAGAGUUAAAGUUAUGUGAAAUACAGGGAAGCCUAUUUUCCAAAAAAACUGUCUCACAAAGCUGGUGAAGUUUAGCGCUGGAUACAGUACAAGACAUUUGCCCGAGAUCUAACAGAAGAAAAAGCUUCGUUCUUCAUGUGAAGGGUGGUGGCCGGAAAAACUUUUGAAGCUAAAAAUGGAAGUUGUAAAAUUAUUUUCAUACAUUUGUAUGGUAUUCCAUUGUGUGAUAAAUAAAGUAUUUUAUUAAAGUUAGUUGGCGCUUUGUAGUUAUGGUGGAUAUACAAUCCUUUCCGUCACAAAUGUGUCCUUGUGGUAAGGGUCAUAUUGUUGUGACAGUAGAUUGUGAUGGUUGAAUUGAACAGAAGAGGAAAAGACCCCUGAUAGUGAGAUUGGUUGCACUGUAUUUAUCUUUACUAAAAGUAGGCUUAAUGAAAUGAUUUAAUCAUUAGAUGUUCUUGUGAGAAAAGGGGUGAUGUCAUAGAUCUUAUCCAAGUCGAUUUGAAACGGUCGUAAGCACAGGAAGAUGUGCAGAACUACGCAAGAGAGAUGUAUGCCUUGUAAACCUUUACGCAUCAAAAGUUUUUUGUGGUCCUGGAAUAAAGAUCUUCAAGGCAUACUGGGAAUAAGAGUGCUUUUUCCAAUGAAGACUAUUUUGGACCUUACCUCUGUUAUAAUGGCUCCUCUUACAAAAUGAUGCAGCCACCUUGAAUGAGAUUACACCCUGCCUGGAAAUCACCAUAGGUAAUAAAAUAUGGAAAAUAUG
This is a long non-coding RNA of Macrobrachium nipponense, 2659 nucleotides long. RefSeq lists it as uncharacterized. The record is from RefSeq and is a predicted model, not a curated record. Lineage: Eukaryota; Metazoa; Arthropoda; Malacostraca; Decapoda; Palaemonidae. The transcript has 3 exons.